AGCCACAAAUGGAGUUGUGAACAAAACGGCGUCAUUUUCAACUACAUCCAGAGGGGUUGGAAGCUCAUACAAUCCACUCUGAAGGAAUCCUUUCGAUGAAAAAUGGGAUACACGGACACUGAGUAUGGCAAUCAGUCAAUAUAAUCCAUAGAGGGUGAGAGGCUUGUAGCCGAAGCAUGAGUGGCGGCUCAGACAUGCGAAGUGGUUCACCAGGUCGGCCUUAGAGCAAAGCUGUUUGAGAUUGCAGCCCAAAGUGGGUGGCAAACUCUAUCCAAUGCUAAAUACGGGCACGAGUCCGAUAGCGAACAAGUUUCGUGAGUUAAAGUUGAAAAGCACUCUGAAG
RNAcentral lists this non-coding RNA (343 nucleotides) under Taenia asiatica. RNAcentral's name for it is "Eukaryotic large subunit ribosomal RNA". It matches the Rfam family "Eukaryotic large subunit ribosomal RNA", at positions 104 to 381 of the family's 3401-position model. Lineage: Eukaryota; Metazoa; Platyhelminthes; Cestoda; Cyclophyllidea; Taeniidae. The record is from Rfam by way of RNAcentral.